This 466-nucleotide ribosomal RNA is filed under the name uncultured bacterium. RNAcentral describes it as "bacterial SSU rRNA". It matches the Rfam family "Bacterial small subunit ribosomal RNA", at positions 28 to 477 of the family's 1533-position model. The record is from RNAcentral.
GACGAACGCUGGCGGCGUGCCUAAUACAUGCAAGUCGAGCGAACUUUUGGGAGCUUGCUCUCAAAAGUUAGCGGCGGACGGGUGAGUAACACGUGGGCAACCUGCCUAUAAGACUGGGAUAACUUCGGGAAACCGGAGCUAAUACCGGAUGAUUCUUUUUUACACAUGUAGGGAAGCUAAAAGAUGGUUUACGCUAUCACUUAUAGAUGGGCCCGCGGCGCAUUAGCUAGUUGGUGAGGUAACGGCUCACCAAGGCCACGAUGCGUAGCCGACCUGAGAGGGUGAUCGGCCACACUGGGACUGAGACACGGCCCAGACUCCUACGGGAGGCAGCAGUAGGGAAUCUUCCGCAAUGGACGAAAGUCUGACGGAGCAACGCCGCGUGAGUGAUGAAGGUUUUCGGAUCGUAAAACUCUGUUGUUAGGGAAGAACAAGUACGAGAGUAACUGCUCGUACCUUGACGGUA